UUUGAUGUAGAAUUAAGCACGCAGCUGUAUGACCUGAAUUUCCUAAUAAGCAGACAGUCAAUAACUGUAGAGGUAAAACUGUCAAUAGUUCUACGGCAGAUCACACAUGGAAAGUACACAACACCAGUGCCCAUUGAUAUACGAGUCAAUUAAAAAUAAGCAUACAUCGCGCCAUCAAGGGCAUUUAUUUAGCUUCUCUCACACUGUUUAACUUUGCACCGAUUCCUACAUUCAUGUUAUGUAUUGACAGAUAAACCGGUAGCAUUAUGUACAUUUUAGUACCCAUCUGUCCAUUCUCAUUCAUCAAUACCCAUAUACAAGCUGAGAACACGGCUCUUCCAUCUGUCCAUUCUCAUUCAUCAAUACCCAUAUACAAGCUGAGAACACGGCUCUUCCAUCUGUCCAUUCUCAUUCAUCAAUACCCAUAUACAAGCUGAGAACACAGCUCUUCCAUCUGUCCAUUCUCAUUCAUCAAUACCCAUGUACAAGCUGAGAACACGGCUCUUCCAUCUGUCCAUUCUCAUUCAUCAAUACCCAUAUACAAGCUGAGAACACGGCUCUUCCAUCUUUCCAUUCUCAUUCAUCAAUACCCGGUACCCAUGUACAAGCUGAGAACACGGCUCUUCCAUCUGUCCAUUCUCAUUCAUCAAUACCCAUAUACAAGCUGAGAACACGGCUCUUCCAUCUGUCCAUUCUCAUUCAUCAAUACCCAUAUACAAGCUGAGAACACGGCUCUUCCAUCUUUCCAUUCUCAUUCAUCAAUACCCGGUACCCAUGUACAAGCUGAGAACACGGCUCUUCCAUCUGUCCAUUCUCAUUCAUCAAUACCCAUGUACAAGCUGAGAACACGGCUCUUCCAUCUGUCCAUUCUCAUUCAUCAAUACCCAUAUACAAGCUGAGAACACGGCUCUUCCAUCUGUCCAUUCUCAUUCAUCAAUACCCAUAUACAAGCUGAGAACACGGCUCUUCCAUCUGUCCAUUCUCAUUCAUCAAUACCCAUAUACAAGCUGAGAACACGGCUCUUCCAUCUGUCCAUUCUCAUUCAUCAAUACCCAUAUACAAGCUGAGAACACGGCUCUUCCAUCUGUCCAUUCUCAUUCAUCAAUACCCAUGUACAAGCUGAGAACACGGCUCUUCCAUCUGUCCAUUCUCAUUCAUCAAUACCCAUAUACAAGCUGAGAACACGGCUCUUCCAUCUUUCCAUUCUCAUUCAUCAAUACCCGGUACCCAUGUACAAGCUGAGAACACGGCUCUUCCAUCUGUCCAUUCUCAUUCAUCAAUACCCAUGUACAAGCUGAGAACACGGCUCUUCCAUCUGUCCACUCUCAUUCAUCAAUACCCACGUACAAGCUGAGAACACGGCUCUUCCAUCUGUCCAUUCUCAUUCAUCAAUACCCAUAUACAAGCUGAGAACACGGCUCUUCCAUCUGUCUACUCUCAUUCAUCAAUACCCAUAUACAAGCUGAGAACACGGCUCUUCCAUCUGUCCACUCUCCUUCAUCAAUACCCAUGUACAAGCUGAGAACACGGCUCUUAUACUAACAAUACAUCUUCAUUACUGACUAUCGUUCAGUAAAAAACACUUUAUUUUACCACCACCUAUAAUGUUUAUAUAUUAUUACAAAAGUCAUCUUAAUAGACUGAAAUCAAAGUCAAAUGUUCGUGCCCAGGUCAGCUAAAAAGGUUAACAAAGGAAACUUAAAACAGCUUUAGUUGACCAAUUGUACAACAUUGUACCCAAUGACAACUUGUACAUGGUAUGAUUAUUUCAGAAACAUUAUAAAGAGUACAAUUAUUCUAAAGAUUGUAAAGUAAAGUUAAGUUAAUAAUUUAGUUAAUGGAUGGAACGAGAUGUUAAACAAAAUAGAUAGACACUAAAGA
Dreissena polymorpha is the source of this 1881-nucleotide long non-coding RNA. RefSeq lists it as uncharacterized. NCBI's taxonomy places the organism in Eukaryota, Metazoa, Mollusca, Bivalvia, Myida, Dreissenidae. The transcript has 2 exons. The record is from RefSeq and is a predicted model, not a curated record.